UGGGGAAUUUUGCACAAUGGGGGAAACCCUGAUGCAGCGACGCCGCGUGAUUUAGAAGGCCUUCGGGUUGUAAAAAUCUUUUUUACGGGAUGAAAAUGACAGUACCGUAAGAAUAAGGUCCGGCUAAAUACGUGCCAGCAGCCGCGGUAAUACGUAUGGACCGAGCGUUGUCCGGAAUCAUUGGGCGUAAAGGGUACGUAGGCGGCCUAGUAAGUUAGAAGUGAAAUAAUAUAGCUCAACUAUAUAAAGCUUUUAAAACUGCUAGGCUUGAGAGAUGGAAGGGAAAGUGGAAUUCCUAGUGUAGCGGUGAAAUGCGCAGAUAUUAGGAAGAAUACCGGUGGCGAAGGCGACUUUCUGGUCAUCAUCUGACGCUGAGGUACGAAAGCGUGAGUAGCAAACAGG
RNAcentral lists this ribosomal RNA (402 nucleotides) under bacterium. Its description in RNAcentral is "partial 16S ribosomal RNA". It matches the Rfam family "Bacterial small subunit ribosomal RNA", at positions 355 to 776 of the family's 1533-position model. The record is from RNAcentral.